This 1350-nucleotide long non-coding RNA is filed under the name Parus major (Great Tit). RNAcentral's name for it is "lncRNA (ENSPMJG00000019852.1)". Lineage: Eukaryota; Metazoa; Chordata; Aves; Passeriformes; Paridae. The record is from RNAcentral.
AUGAAUAACUUUUCCUCUCCUGGGAGGGGGGAGAAGCCUUGCCUCAGUACUGACAUUUUGCACACCCAGCCCACAAACCUGCUUCAAAUCCCAGAUGAUGAUCUGGGAAUUAAACCUGGGGCUUUGGUGUCUCUGCUCCAUGAGCAGAGCAGGGCCCACUGUGCACUAAACCCACGGUCCAGAGGGAGAGAGGCCUGGGGCAGCUCUCACCUGGCCAGGUACCAGCCCCAUGCUUGUGUUACUGCCUCACAACCCGACAGAAACUCAGGUCCCUCAGGGACAAGCCACAGCCUCUGCUCUCAAGACAGAGGAGCUGUGUUAAAAAACAAACAAACAAAAAAACCCCUUAAAAAUCAGAGCAAACCACCCAGCAGCAGCAGAAUAAGAAGGCAGAAGCUCAGACUUGCCAACUCAUUGUCUAGAGCCCAACCAGUUCUCCCUCCUGUCCUGGAGAUCACAGUAUUUAACUCACAAACUCACCCUGUUUGUCAUUUGAGCUUCCAGAGGUGUUUUCAAGUCUUUCUCAGGAGGUCCAGGAACCAGCAGUGCGUUCCCAUGGGAAUUUCAGCCUUUGUUAACAGGACUGCGUUCCCAGGAAUGAAAGCAAGAGAAACAAACUCCAGCUGUUGCAAGAUUUGGAAGAGCAGAGCCACGAGCGUUGCCGGCAGCAGCCUUUCCAAGGGGCUGCACCACCAAAGCACCAACCACGGCAUCGGGAUUGCUGCAUUGCUUUGGAAAUCCUCUUACCUAGAAAGGAGCUGCUCAGGGCCAGGAGAUGAAGCCCAUGUGGGUUACAGCCAGCCUUCCAUGGGAGCAGCUACCCUAGGCGAGGCACCUGCUCCUCCUCCUGAGACAGGGGAACCACGAAGCUCAGCCUGGAGGUACAGCAGGACCCACCUGAGAGCUGCGGGGAGCCAGUGGGUGCAGGAUGAGAUCCAGGCUGGAUGGGUGCUAGAGAAGUGUCCCCUCGCCAUAAACCUGAGGAUGGUGCUGGCCAGGAGUGCUGGGAAAGGACCUGGAGGCUUUGAAGAGCAGAGUGUUCUCCAGGCUGUAAUUAGCCACUGGCUUCCCCCACCCCUGAUUAUGCAGAGGAGGGAAAUGGUAGAACCCACCAGUCUGCCGGGGAGGGAGGAGGCUGCUCCAGUCCUGCCCCCCCUGGCACCCCAAGGACCCCCUGGCACCCCAGGGACCCACUGCCACCCUGGUGUUCCAGCCCUCCUCAUGGGAGUCUGGGCUCUGUGCGUGGGCAAGACCAAGGCACAGUCUGGAAAGGGAUUUACUGUGGGUCAGGGCUGCUACAGGAUGAAUUACUUCAUUAACUGGAGUCAGCUCACAAAAAGGAGGAUGUGA